This 253-nucleotide ribosomal RNA is filed under the name uncultured bacterium. Its description in RNAcentral is "partial 16S ribosomal RNA". It matches the Rfam family "Archaeal small subunit ribosomal RNA", at positions 474 to 727 of the family's 1478-position model. The record is from RNAcentral.
UACCAGCACCCCGAGUGGUCGGGACGAUUAUUGGGCCUAAAGCGUCCGUAGCCGGUCCUACAAGUCUUCCGUUAAAUCCACCUGCUUAACAGAUGGGCUGCGGAAGAUACUAUAGGGCUAGGAGGCGGGAGAGGCAAGCGGUACUCAGUGGGUAGGGGUAAAAUCCUCUGAUCCAUUGAAGACCACCAGUGGCGAAGGCGGCUCUCUAGUACGUGACUGACGCUGAGACGCGAAAGCGUGGGGAGCGAACAGG